GUUUCUGGGAGCAUGCCGGCACUUCCGGGAGCCGUGCAGAGCCAGAGCAGACAGGGAGUCUGACUUAACCACGCUGCACCGCCGACCAGGAGCCACCUGAGCAGGCGCAUCGUGGCCACGUGGCAGAGGGGCGCAGCAGGAACAGGGGACUGGAGCGAGAUCCAGGAGCAGCCGCCCAGGAGACACGAGGAUGAGGACGGCACCUGCACCCACGGGCCAGAACCCCAGCUCCCAGCCACCAGCUCCAUCCAGAGCCUCUUCGAUGGGGCAGGCAGGCUGGACCUGGCUGGGCUGCGCAAGGUGGUCUAUGAGACAGGCACAGAUGCCAGUGAACGGAAGGUCACCUGGAAGUUUCUCUUCGGUGUGUACCCCGCGGACUCCACCACUGAGGAGCGGCGCCGGCUGGACCAGCAGCUGGUCGCUCGCUACAGGAGCAUGAAGAAUGCCUGGAAACAGCAGUUCCCCAGCGCCAGGCGCAUGAAGGUGCAGU
Non-coding RNA from Chrysemys picta bellii (western painted turtle), 490 nucleotides. NCBI's taxonomy places the organism in Eukaryota, Metazoa, Chordata, Testudines, Emydidae. The record is from RefSeq and is a predicted model, not a curated record.